GGCUAUCGUCAUAGCUCGCCAUGUGGAAUCAGUUGCGAGGAGUGGAGCAGGAUCGUGGCCGUUAUUGCGGCCUGCCAUGAAGUAGUGGAGUCACGCAGCACCUGCCACAGGGAGCGGAGCAGAAUCAUGGCCGUUGAUACAGCCUGUCAGAGAGUAAUGGGGUCGCACAGGGUCCGCCGCAGAGAGUGGAGCAGGGCUGCGACCGUUACUGUGGCCUGUCAGGGGUGAUGGAGCAGUGCGGGAUCCGUUGUAGGAAGUGGAGCAGGGCCGCCAAGGGGCGCAGAUCUAUCGGCUGAAGCUCGGCAGCGGUCGGAGUCCGACCUCUGUAGGAAUCCGGGCGGAGUCUUCCUGCAAUCAAAGUUAAAGGUGAAGC
This 373-nucleotide long non-coding RNA is filed under the name Elaeis guineensis (African oil palm). Its description in RNAcentral is "long non-coding RNA (EGUI_LNC053649)". The record is from RNAcentral. Lineage: Eukaryota; Viridiplantae; Streptophyta; Magnoliopsida; Arecales; Arecaceae.